UCGAUUCUCACUUUCGCAUUGUUUUUUUAUUUUUUACGAAAAGUAAAUGAGAUGACAUGGCAAUUUCGGGUUCUCUGAUUGGUUGAUUUUUCUAUCCUAUGUGGACACCCUCUCCAUGGCUUAUAUCCCCCUUUUAGUAUAGUAUAGAUUAUACAGAUAUUCAAAAUAUAUUUUAUAUAGUUUCUAUAAAUGUGUUAUAAGAUUCCUUCUGCAUUUCAGCACGAAAAUAAGUUUUACCAAAAAGGCAAAAACGGUUAAGAUCCAAAAUGUUCCUACAUCAAUGGAAUUAUGUAAAAUCCCUCUACUAUUAAUUUUCUGAGAAUAAACAAAUAUUAAAAUCUUACAAAAAAUCAAAAUUUUGACAAUAAAAUUUUGAAAAAUAAUCCAAUUAAGAGAAUAUAAAUAGUUACAAAAGUUACGUAAUUGUCGUAAAUAUUAUAUUUUUUUUUGAUGAUUACAUAACUAAUCAAUACUAUUAAAACAGAAGGCCCUUUUUUGAGGUGCCCUCCUAUUUCAAUAAUAUUUACAAGAUUUUGCCACUGAAAUAUUUUUAAGCUAUGAUUUUAGUUAUUUCAUAAAAUCCUUUUAUUUCAACAAACUUUUAUUAUUUAAUUCCCUUUAAAUCUUAACAACAUUAAAUCUAUCGAAUCAUUUCAAAAUUUUCAGAAUUAUAAUUAUACAUAGUGAAGUAAACCCAACUGAUUUUCAUUGCAAAUAAACUAUAAGAUGUUGUUUUUUAAUAUAUUUUCUCAAACACCAUCAGACGCCCUCAAGAUUCGAUAAACAAUAUAUGCAUCUGAAUUUCUUAAACAAAACUGUUUUCCUCUUUAAUUUUUGGCAACGACAUUGAACAAAACAAAGUUCAUGAAAGAAAAAGAUCACAUGAUGAUUCACAUUGCACAUACUAUUACAUCAGUAUAAGUCUUGAUAUGCUUUACAAAUGUGGCACUAAUCUAAAUUACAAAAUUCUAACAUAUAUGAACAUACUAAUAGUUAUGUAUUUUGAAGCUUUACAUAUUUAGAUGUAUAGUAUGAAAGAGAUCAUAUUCUUAUGUAUGACAAACCACUAUAGUUCUUCAUGGUCGUUCAUCUAUACUAUUAUAGCACAAAAGCAUACCCUAAGUUAUGAAUCCCCAUAAACCCCAAUUUUUUUUUCUCUCAUCUAUUAAAAAUAAACCAUCAAUCUACAAAUAUGGAUGACUAUAUAUCAAAAAUAUUUUUUAGAUAUUCUAUCUAAAUGUUUGUAACUAUAAUAAAUGCCAAUAUAAACAACUUUAAUUAGCUUGAUACUCAGAUUUGUGAUUAUACGGAGAUAUUUUCUAACUAUAUUAAAUGAAGAGCUUAUAAUUACUCGGCCUAUCACGUUAGUUGCAAAUCUUUCACAUAUCAAUAAAAAACUCUAAUUAAUCUAGCUUUCUAUUUAAAUGCAAUAUAAAAAAUAAAAACAAAAGAAUCAGAAUUUUUUUGGCAUAAAUAUCUGAAUAUACUAAAUCAUAAUAUCUAUUUUCCAUAGGUUUAAUUAGCUUGAUGCUCAAGAUAUAUGAUUAUUGCGAUAUCUUCUCUAACUACAUGAGCGCAAAGUAUUCUAAACCCACAGCCUUAAGCUUUCUUAUAUAUACAGGUGCUCGAUACCUCUGAGCAAACACGUUCCUUUCUUAAAAUUUAUGAGAAAAUGUCCUGAUGAGGUUAAGCCAUGGAAAAUGACAUGGUUCAUGCAAGUCAUAGUGAUACAUACCUGGAAAAAAAUUCAAUGCCGGGUCGUGAGACGUUUGAAAUCAUGUUUGACAAAAAGGGGUUCAAAAUUCAUAUAUCUUUAAGAAGUUUCUCUGUCCCGUCUUUAGUCAGCAACAUGUUUUUAACAUUUAGUCUGUAAUUCUGUAUGGAACAUAUAUAUCAUAAGCAAUCGUACAUAGAGCUAAAUUUCUUAAGCUUUAUCUAUUCGUCCAUCCCAUAAAUAUUAAGAGAGUUAACCGAUUGCAUUUGUAGAAAAUAAAAACUAAGUACUCGGAGUUUACGGAAUUCAGUGUAUAUUGAUUAGCUUUGACCGAUUUUUCAAGUUCUCGUGGAUUGUUAACAACAAACUAACACAUGCUUUCAAAGUGAACUGAGAUGAACUUUAUAAGAAUUUGCAACGAAUUUUAUAUACUAACAGUAUUGAUAUAUAAAAUCUAUUAAUAAAAAAUUAGUUUAAUAUUUAUCAAAUACUAAACAAAUUGUACAAACAGAUUUAAGUCUUGGCAUAUAAAUUGAAAACUGAAACAACAUAAAAGAAAUCAAAUCAAUGUUCACAAAUAUCUUAACGAUUCCUAUAUCGCUGGAACAAAAAAACUGAAACCAAAUCAAAUUAACCAAACUGAGAACCGAAUGGGUACCCGAAUUUCUUAAAUACAAUUUAGGGAAAAAUCUAAAAAAAUAUCUCAACUAAAUUUUGUUAAACUUUUUUAAUACAAAAACAUUUUUGCUACCCAAUUUAAUAUCCCAACUAAUUAUUUAAUUCAUUUUAAUACACAAACUUUUAAAACUGUGCCCCUUUUAAUACCCAAACUUUUUUAUUUUAAAUUUGAUUUGAAAUUUAUUAUUUUUUUCACUUAAAAUAAACAAAUUUUGAGUAUUAAAAUGAACAAAAUAAUUAGUUGGGUACUAAACUGGGUAGAAAAAAGUUUGGGUAUUAAAAAGCUUAAUGAAAUUUAGUUCAAGUAUUUUUAUGGAAUUUUCCUUGCAAUUUAUAUACCUUAAAAUAUUAAUUAUCUUUAGUUUAAAAUUAUUUUAUAUAUACUAAAAAUUAUAACAGAACAACCCCAAAAAAUAGAUUACCCUAUUACUUUUUAUCCAAGAUAUUUAGAGCUGAAUCGCCCAAAAAAUUAUUCAAAAUAUUUAAAUUUAUCAGAAUUAUACGAUAAAGUAUCUAACAAAAUCCAAAAUAUGAUUUUACCCGAAUUAUUAAAAAUUAUCCAAAAUUGGGAACCAAAAACUGGACUGAACUCAAAUUUAAUCAGGUUCAUGACCUUGCUAUCCAAACCAAAAACCAAAAUAACUAAACCGAAACUAAACCUGAAUUCAUAAUUAACCAAACGGUUUUUAUAUUUUUUGAACCGAAUAAACGAAAUCACAACCGAAUUGAAAAAAAAUCGAAAAUCAAAAAAAAAAAAUUGGAACUGAAACGAAAACCGAACUUCCAUAGCUAAACAUAUUACUGAACUAGCGGGUUAGUAAAAUUUUAAUUAAAAAAUAAUCCCGCGCUUUCAAAGCGCGGGUCAAAAUCUAGUGAUAUAUUAAACUAACUAUAUUACAAUAUCAAUGAAAAUUAUAUAAAUUUAUUUUGAAGAAAGUAAUGAAAAUUAUACUUUUAUUUAUUCAGUAUUCAUAUUUAUAAAAUGUUUUAGUUACUAAAUUAUUUAUUACAAAAGUUAACAUUCAUUUUUUUAGAAAAAUAUUGAUUUAUAUUUUUUUACCAAAAAAACAUAAACUCUAAAAGCCAUUUUAGGUCUACUGUUACUCAACUAUAAUUGUUGACUAACCACGUACAUGACUAAAAAAGUAUGGUAUGAAAGUUUAUGAUCAAAAUAGCUUGUUAACAAAAGUUGAGUGUUUUUGAGGUUCACGGAAAAGUUGUUGUUUUAUUUCAACCAAAUUUUAAAAGUUGAUGAUUUAAAUGACAUUUUCUCCAUAAAAAAUGCAAUAAAUAUAUAUAAUUCAAUCAUUAAAAAAUAAUACUACAGAAUACAAGCAGAAUAAAUUUGUAAAAUACAUUUUUAAGUGGUAUAAACAUCAGAAUACAUUUGUAAAAUACAUUUUAUACAAAAAUAAAAUAGUAACCUAAUGAUAAAAUAGUAAAAGUAACAAAAAAUCAUCUAAACAAUUUACAAUGUAUAAAAGGAAUUUUCUAAUAUUCCUUUAAGAAAGAAUGUGAUUUUGAAAGAAAAAUCACAUAUAAUUUUAAAGUCCAUAUAAAAUAAAUUAAACUAACAAAAAAACAUUAAAAAUUAGUCAACUAGAUAUAUACUACUUUUAGAAAAUUAGCAUAACACUAACAAACAUUUUUUUUAGAUAGAAAAUGUAAGUAUUGAUAAACAUUUUUUAACUAACAUAUGUACAACUGCAUUUCAGAGUAGCAGCAGCAACCAAACUCCAGUCAUUGGCAAAGAAGGUGGACAAGCAACAGCAGCAGUCAGCUACACGGUUGUUGCUGCGAAGAUAGCUAUGGGAGUUGAUGAAGAAAAUCCUCCUGACUUUGUAGACAAAGAAAAAAGCUGCAAACAUUACCGUCAGUGAAUAGUUUCAAGUCGAUCAAACCGUCAACCCCACUUAGUUUUCGUCACUUUCAGAAUUGCUACAUUCUUAUGUUUUCCCUAUUUUAAACUUUGUUUAUCUCUUGCAUUUUCGGCUACUAUGAUUCAAUAUAAUAAAGGCAGCGUUGACGGGUCUUUUGCAUAUUGAAAUAUUUUUACGUUAUUGCAUAUUUGCAUGAGUGCCUGUUCACAUAGUAGCAUGUCACUUACGUAAACAGAGCGUCAACCUCGGCUCUGUUAGGAUGCAUAUUUUGUUACUGAUUAUUAUAGAUGUAAAUUUAGGCAGACGUUUUAUCAAGUUACUGAUUAAUGGGCUUCCAUAUAGCCCACUGAAAGUACUGAGAUAAGCAUAAUCCACAACUGAACCAUUUUUUUCGUAGACCACCGUCAUGUUUUAAAAUUUCAAAGGUGCGCAACAACAACCAUUAACUUAUACAUUUAUAAACCAGGAUGAUGACUAAAUAAACACAUUUUUACCGUCACCACUUUCAUAUAAUUCUUAAUAAAUCUAACUCCCAUCCCAUUCAAGAUCACGUGGGAGCAUACAAUGAAAUGUCAACAACAAUAACCUCCUUUCAAUCUUUUGUAAAUGAAAUUUCAGAAUUUCAAAACAAAACCCCAAAAAACGAAACCUAUUGUUUUCAAGAUAUAACAUCCUUUUGAGUAUAAAUAAUAGAUACUUGAAGUUGAAUAUAUAAGAAAGUUUAAUUCAUUUUUUUCUACAAUUUAACAUUUCACUGAUGUAAGCAUUUUAAUAAGUUCAUUAUUCGAAAAAGGUCGUCCAUAUUUUAAAAAACCUUUCGGCUGGGCUUAUAUUAGCCAUUAACAUAGUCAGACAAAUCAAACAAUAUGUUCGUACGUCUGGAGUAUGCAAAUGUUCCGUGUCCACUCGCGACCCACUACGGAAUGAAGGGUGUCACAUGACCCCCUAAAAUAUGAUAACAAACUUUUUAUAAGAAAAACAUGUAGAAAAUCAGCAGCAACGUUGGUAUAUUCCUUCAUUGUUAAAUUAUAGAAAAAAAUGUUAAAUUAUAAGCCCAGCCGCCAUGAAUUAUCAACAUACACGUAUGUGUAGAUAGUAGUAUAGUACUACUACUAUCCCCCAUUGUAUUUGCCUUCACAUCUCUUAUUCAUUGUUCAUCAUUCACAAUGCUAAUGGUAUUUUACAGACUCAGAUUUACUUUGAAUGAAAAGCUUAUUAUAACAAUAAUACAGACUUCAUUAAUAUUACACACAAAUUGUAUCUGA
Molecule: long non-coding RNA, 5537 nt
Organism: Brassica rapa (field mustard)
Lineage: Eukaryota; Viridiplantae; Streptophyta; Magnoliopsida; Brassicales; Brassicaceae
Source: RefSeq, a predicted model, not a curated record